GCUUAAAGGGGCCGUAGCUGGCCGGACAAAUCUCCGGGUAAAUCGGGCGGCCCAACCGUCCGAAUUCCGGAGACACUGUUCGGCUUGGGAUCGGGAGAGGGUGAAGGUACUCUCGGGGUAGGGGUAAAAUCCUGUAAUCCGGAGGGGACCACCAGUGGCGAAGGCGUUCACCUAGAACGAAUCCGACAGUGAGGGACGAAGCCCUAGGGCGCAAACGGGAUUAGAUACCCCGGUAGUCUAGGGUGUAAACUCUGCAGACUUGGUGUUGGGGGUCCUGCGUGGGCUCCCAGUGCCGGAGUGAAGAUGUUAAGUCUGCCGCUUGGGGAGUACGGUCGCAAGACUGAAACUUAAAGGAAUUGGCGGGAGAGCACCGCAACGGGAGGAGCGUGCGGUUCAAUUGGAUUCAACGCCGGAAAACUCACCGGGGGCGACGGAGGGUUGAAAGCCAGGCCGAAGACCUUGCCCGAUCCUCCGAGAGGUGGUGCAUGGCCAUCGUCAGUUCGUACCGUAAGGCGUUCUGUUAAGUCAGAUAACGAACGAGACCCUCGCCUUCAGUCGCUAUCUCAUGAGUGGUCGUGAGAGCACACUGAGGGGAUCGCUGCCGCUAAGGCAGAGGAAGGAGAGGUCUACGGUAGGUCCGCAUGCCCCUAA
This 651-nucleotide ribosomal RNA is filed under the name uncultured archaeon. RNAcentral describes it as "bacterial SSU rRNA". It matches the Rfam family "Archaeal small subunit ribosomal RNA", at positions 508 to 1160 of the family's 1478-position model. The record is from RNAcentral.